CAGAGAAAGAGAGGAGAGGUGCAGAGAAAGAGGGGAGAGAUAGAGAGUGAGGAGAGGUGCAGAGAAAGAGAGGAGAUGGACGGCGAGAAACAGAGAGAGAGACGGCUAGGGUGAGAAUGGGGGACAAGAGAAGGAGACAGGAUCAUGGAGAGAGAAAUCAAGUGAAGGCGAAGACAGAGAAAAUGAGACAGGGAGACAGAGAGGACAAAACAGGGGUAGGGAAAGGGAGAGAGAGAAAAGGGAGACUAGGUCGCUACAGAGAGAUUCCUAAUGUAGGUUUCAAUUUCCAGUUCUUGGGUGGACUGGACCAUUUGAGCAUUAAAUGCAAUAGAACUUCACUUACAAGGAUCUCAUGUUUUUUUGUAAUGUAUUUUUAAGUAGAGCUUAGUGGCGGCUGGUCCAUGUAUGAAGCCUCACUUGUAUUUUCUUACAAUCCAAAUAGUGACAAAGGGGGGCAAACAUGCUAGUGUUUUUUCAUUGUCAUCUUUCUCUCCCUAACAGGCCAACAAGAUGUUCAACCCGAUGACUGUAUAAAGGAAUGGACAAAGCCAUCGAUCACGUGACACCAUUCGUUCCUAUGUGAAGACUCAACAGCGCAUUGAAACCAAAUGAGCAUCAGUAGAACACGCCUGACACUCCUCCACCAGUCACACAAGGAGAAUGGUCUAAUGCCUCCCUUCAAAAAGAGAGCUGGCCCAAGCAAGAACAGGUUACACCUGAAGCAUGAGGACUUGCAGCGAGUGGUGAACUUCAUCAACAACUACAGGAUAAUGCAACAGUAUUACCAGGAUGCCACCCAGGACACAGGCUCUUUGGUGGAAAGCUGUUGUCAUGUGACAAAUGCAGUGGUGUGGCGUCUCUACAAGGAAUCGAUGACAACACUUGGAACAACAUGCCUUGGGUUGUGCCGUGGCGGAGAUCUUUGUGGGCU
This is a non-coding RNA of Oncorhynchus mykiss (rainbow trout), 931 nucleotides long. The record is from RefSeq and is a predicted model, not a curated record. NCBI's taxonomy places the organism in Eukaryota, Metazoa, Chordata, Actinopteri, Salmoniformes, Salmonidae.